This is a long non-coding RNA of Aedes albopictus (Asian tiger mosquito), 1610 nucleotides long. RefSeq lists it as uncharacterized. The transcript is spliced from 3 exons. NCBI's taxonomy places the organism in Eukaryota, Metazoa, Arthropoda, Insecta, Diptera, Culicidae. The record is from RefSeq and is a predicted model, not a curated record.
CGUUCGGUUCCCAGUUUACACUUGCUGGCUCCACCGCAAGUCCCUUUUCCUUUCCCCUCCCGACUACAACCCUGAAAAUAAACAAAAUACACAUGCAGAGGCAGUUGGCACUCACUGGUUAAUGAUUUGUCAGUGAGUGAGCCUGUUUCACUUUCCCGUGUUCCUGACAUUGAUGCCAGACAAAAGUCGUGCAGUUUGAGCGUGGGUAAAAUAUACCCACUAAUACUUAUUGAAUUCUCACUGACAGAUGACGCUAGUGACCAGCGGACAUUAGGGUGUGGAAACAUGAACAUAAAAUUAACAUAGCUGUCAAAAAUAAAAAUAAAAUAAUAAUAGUAAGAAUUGAUUUCUAUGAAGGGGAAGUUUUAUAAAAGCCUCCUUGUUGGCAGAAGACGCUCUCUUUUUAAUACCGAUCCUCGAAAGGAAUUGUAGUGCGCGCGCGAAUAGUGUAAUAAUUCGAGGUUAGAAUAAUUGUUAAAAAGAAACCUCUUAGUGGUGAAAAUUUCUAUAAUUUUGUGCUGUCUUUUCUUUAAAUUUAGGAUCAAAGUACAGAGUUGUUUGUCAACAUAAGUGUUAGUAAUUGCCAUGCAGAAACAAAAACAAACAAUUGAACAAAUAACAAUAACGAUCCACAACAACUGUUAAAAUAGUCACUAUGACUGGCUAAAAUCAAGAAAAAGGUCCACACCAGGGACCUUUUUCUUUUGUAUUAUUGUUCCAACAGUGACAGAUGAACAACGGUUGACAUUUCCGAAGAUUGGGUAGUGGAUGAGGUGGCUGUUCCGGAUUUCCGUUAUAAUCGUCUCCGGUUCGAACAACUUGUGAGAAGCGCACGUCGGAAGAACGCCAUUGUGAUCCACCCACCUUGCUGAAGCACAUCCGCCAUCUUCCAUGUUCCGUCACCGUGAACCAAUCGCCAUUGUGUCCCAAAGCUUCUAUGGAAGUAGCCCAACCACCAACCAACUACCGUUCGGCGAUCCGUCGGCACGUGGGAAGUCAAGUGUCACGAACUGCCCCACCCUAGUUCGGUACCGUCGACAUCAUAUCAGCCAAACCGCUACCAAGAACCGAUUGCCCGAUACUCCGUCGGCAAUAGAGAUGCCUCGCCUUCUGGCCAACUACCAAGAAUUGGCCCACCCUAGUCCAGCAACCAACGGGAAGAACCAAGCAAACCCGCUACCAUCACUACCAACCGUCGCCAGGAUCCGGAUCCAAACUUCAAGUACCAAGCAUGCUAAAGAUAAGUACCCUUAAGUGACGUCACCCUUGUAAAUAAACCCCAUGUAAUUAGAUAGCUUCAGUGGUAGCCCAUUAUUUAGAGAGAGCAGCCCUGAAUUGUAGACUUUCUCACCCCUUUUCUUUGUUCGUUGUUUCCGGGUUCCGAUAGAGAACCGUUCAAGCCUCGCCUUUGGAGUGAUUGGUUAUUUCUUAGCGUUUGUCCCCUAAAUGUUUAGUUUGGACACCCUUACUCCGACACUUGCCCCUCAUGUGAGUCAGAGUUCCAUUGCAUACUGUUCCUGCAACGAUUUAGAUCUCAUUCAGGUCAGUGGAUGUAUGGGAAAGAAAAGUCAUUCAUCGACCCUGCAGAUUCCCACCCCCGAGCUAGCGAG